CGAAAUUCCAACUUCCGGUGACU
RNAcentral lists this non-coding RNA (23 nucleotides) under Arabidopsis thaliana (thale cress). The record is from RNAcentral. Lineage: Eukaryota; Viridiplantae; Streptophyta; Magnoliopsida; Brassicales; Brassicaceae.